Molecule: ribosomal RNA, 406 nt
Filed under: uncultured bacterium
Lineage: Bacteria
Description: partial 16S ribosomal RNA
Rfam family: Bacterial small subunit ribosomal RNA
Source: RNAcentral
AUUGAACGCUGGCGGCAGGCCUAACACAUGCAAGUCGAACGAGUGGGGGCCGGGUGAGUCAUGUGUGGGAAACUGCCUGAUGGAGGGGGACAACUACUGGAACCGGUACCUAAUACCGCAUACCAUGAGAUGUUCCCAGAUGGGAUUAGCUUGUGGGUGGGGUAACGGCUCACCAAGGCGACGAUCCCUAGCUGGUCUGAGAGGAGGACCAGCCACACUGGAACUGAGACACGGUCCAGACUCCUAAGGGAGGCAGCAGUGGGGAAUAUUGCACAAUGGGCGCAAGCCUGAUGCAGCCAUGCCGCGUGUAUGAAGAAGGCCUUCGGGUUGUAAAGUACUUUCAGCGGGGAGGCGUGACCAGAAGAAGAAGCACCGGCUAACUCCGUGCCAGCAGCCGCGGUAAUAC